RNAcentral lists this unclassified non-coding RNA (898 nucleotides) under Hevea brasiliensis (rubber tree). The record is from RNAcentral. Lineage: Eukaryota; Viridiplantae; Streptophyta; Magnoliopsida; Malpighiales; Euphorbiaceae.
AAUAAAUUAAUUAAAAAUAUUUAUAGCAUUUUUUCCAGACAUUUCACUGCCACCUAUACCAUUGUAACAAAGAAAAAAAAAUGCAGUGUUAAGGUCUUCAUUUCGUAUUUUUCCACACAUAAACCUACUGCCACCUAACCCACUAAAAUAUAGAGAUGAAAAAAGCAGUCCCAAAGCCCUGUUAACACACAUAAACCUCCUCCUGCUGCUGUUGCUGCUGCUGCUUCUUCUUUUUCUUCUUUCUUUUUUUCUUCUUUCUUUCUUUCUUCUUUUGAGUCACUGCUGCCUGCUUAUUGUUUCUUCUUCUCUGUUUUCCCUUGUUAAUCUCUCUCUUUCUUGCAUUGCUGCUGCUGCCUUUUUCCCUAUUUCAGCGAACCAGGACGAGUUCCCAAGUGUUUUGGAAUGCCGGAGUAUUGUGUUCUGGGAUGCGCAUCCCAGUUCGUGGUUCGGGGGGGUGGCAGCAAUGAAUUAGGCAACUAUAGCUUAGUAUAUCUGCUGCUAAUAUGUGGUAUGCAUAUUUUGUUAUUGGAUAGCCUGCUAUGUUUACUCUUGGUAUGCAUAUUGUUCUGUUGGGAAGUAGGGUGACAAUUUGGGUUAAUGUGUCAUACAGAAUGAAAAUGUAACAGCAUUUGGUUAACACCCGUAAUCUGUUUAAAGUAUUAAGUUUUCAACAUGGCCCAUUAAUUAGAGAAGGCUUUUCUAGAUAACUUUUCAGGAUGAAAAUGUAAUGGUCUUACUACUGUGGUUGAUGUUAUAAUAUGUUGCUUUCACAUUGGCCCUUCAUUUGAUAUAUUAGGAAGAUGAAUUGAAAAAGGGGGGAAAUAUAAGCUGAUACAGAUAGAAUGAUGCAAGAGUACAGAGCUUAACUUGAUGUUGAGUUGCUGACAGGGCAAGAAAG